RNAcentral lists this ribosomal RNA (665 nucleotides) under uncultured bacterium. Its description in RNAcentral is "bacterial SSU rRNA". It matches the Rfam family "Bacterial small subunit ribosomal RNA", at positions 547 to 1217 of the family's 1533-position model. The record is from RNAcentral.
UGGGGGCGUAAGAGCUCGUAGGUGGUUGGUCACGUCUGCUGUGGAAACGCAACGCUUAACGUUGCGCGUGCAGUGGGUACGGGCUGACUAGAGUGCAGUAGGGGAGUCUGGAAUUCCUGGUGUAGCGGUGAAAUGCGCAGAUAUCAGGAGGAACACCGGUGGCGAAGGCGGGACUCUGGGCUGUAACUGACACUGAGGAGCGAAAGCAUGGGGAGCGAACAGGAUUAGAUACCCUGGUAGUCCAUGCCGUAAACGUUGGGCACUAGGUGUGGGGGACAUUCCACGUUCUCCGCGCCGUAGCUAACGCAUUAAGUGCCCCGCCUGGGGAGUACGGUCGCAAGGCUAAAACUCAAAGGAAUUGACGGGGGCCCGCACAAGCGGCGGAGCAUGCGGAUUAAUUCGAUGCAACGCGAAGAACCUUACCAAGGCUUGACAUACACUGGACCGUUCUGGAAACAGUUCUUCUCUUUGGAGCUGGUGUACAGGUGGUGCAUGGUUGUCGUCAGCUCGUGUCGUGAGAUGUUGGGUUAAGUCCCGCAACGAGCGCAACCCUCGUUCUAUGUUGCCAGCACGUGAUGGUGGGAACUCAUAGGAGACUGCCGGGGUCAACUCGGAGGAAGGUGGGGAUGACGUCAAAUCAUCAUGCCCUUUAUGUCUUGGGCUUC